Molecule: long non-coding RNA, 10698 nt
Filed under: Arabidopsis lyrata
Lineage: Eukaryota; Viridiplantae; Streptophyta; Magnoliopsida; Brassicales; Brassicaceae
Description: long non-coding RNA (ALYR_LNC001586)
Source: RNAcentral
CGAACAUCUCAUAUCAUCUAAACACACUAAUCUCUUAUUUCUUUGUGUUUUUGUUUGGAGUUUAAAAAAAAAAAGAAUGGCAACUUCAGCAAUCCAACACUCCUCUUUCGCCGGCCAAACGGCCCUGAAGCCAUCCAACGAUCUCAUUCGUAAGGUCGGAGCCUCCAACGGUGGAGGCCGUGUCGUCAUGCGACGUACCGUCAAGUCUACUCCUCAGAGCAUCUGGUUCCAACGCCUAUCUCUCUCUGUUUUCCCUUAAUAUUUAUUCUUCUGAAAAUUGAGAUUUUCCAUUUAAAUUUUAAAAAGUAAAAAUAGUACAAAUGCCUCUGGUUCAAAUUCGGAUUUUGGUUCGGUUUCAAAAUGGUUUUUGGUUUUAUAAAAUAUUAACCAAUGAAAACCUUGUUAAUCAAGAAGACAUUUAACACUAACUAAGUCAUAGUUAAGGGUUAAAUGUAGGUUACUUGGGUUACUCGGGUUACAGGUUACUUGGGUUACUCGGGUUACAGGUUACUUGGGUUACUCGGAUUACAAGUCUGAAUGAGGGUGCUAUUGGUCUUUGUGCACAACCCAUAAACCCUAGAGAGUGUGUUCUCAUAUAAAAGCACUUGUGUGCCUCCACUUUGUAAUACAACGUUUAUCUUUUAAUAACAACACUUUUCCUCUCUACUCUUAGUCAUGUUUCUCUCUAUUCUUCCCACUUGAUUCUUAAAUUAUUUAUAUGGUAUCAGAGCAAUCUUACGAUUCUUAACACUUUUCCUCUCUUUAAUCUUGCGUUACGGUUCGAUUUCUCACUAAAAGGUUGAAUCUUGGUUGUACGGAAGCGAGCUGUUCUUCGUUUCUGGGUUUUGUUUGAAGUUUUCUUGAGUUGAAGCUUUCUGAAUCUUUGGUAAAGCGUUUCUAGUGAAGAGUUUUGGGAGUUUUUCUUUGAAGUUACUCAAAGGUCUCUAAGCGAAUCAAAACGGUCUCGUGGCUAAAGGUCGAAGCUUUCUCUCGGGAUGGCACUGGUGGUUCAAGACGCAAGCAAAGCCUACAAGGAGCUGAAGUUCUCGGUUGGUUUGAAUGGAAACAACUAUCUCUUAUGGAGAAGAAUGACUACAAAUGUUUUGGGUGGAAGAAAGCUCACGAAGCAUAUUGAGUCGACUUAUGAAGAGAUGAAGGAGAAAGACGGAAGCUUGGAUAAGGAUGCUUGGGUACAAGAAGACUUGAACGUGUUGAGUGCGUUACAUGGCUCUCCUGAAGCUUCAAUCUUGGAAGGUUACUCAUAUUGCGAGACAACCAAAGAGCUUUGGGAUACGCUUGCUAGUGUCUUUGUCAACGAAUCGAAUCUCACUCGUGUGUAUGAGAUUAAGCGAGCUCUUGGAAAUCUAAGUCAAGAAGAGAGUGACUUCAACACUCAUUUCGGAAAGUACAGGUCUCUAGUUGCUGAACUAGAGAUGCUUAGGCCAUUCACUACUGAAGCACAAACACUCAAGGAUCGCCGAGAGCAAGACCGGGUGUUUGGGUUGUUAAUGACGCUUAAUCCGAACUAUAAAGAGGUGAUACAACACAUUCUGAGGGAUGACAAGGUCCCCACCUUGGAACAAGUUUGUGCCAAGAUACAAAAAGAGUUCGGGUCACAAGGGCUAUUCGGCACUAAAGGCGAGAACCUCCCAACGGCAAACAAGGCAUUGUUUGUGAAACAUGAAGACAAGAAGACUUUGGUGUGUGACCAUUGCAAUAGGAAUGGCCAUAACAAAGACAAAUGUUGGAUUUUACACCCUCAUUUGAAGCCGGAGAAGUUCAAGAAGCUCAAAUCAAAGGCAAAUGUGGCAAAUGCAAGCGACGGUGGACAAGAGAAUGAAGAAAGGGCGAUUGUGCAAUACGGUCAAGAGAAGGCGAUGCAAGCCAUGAUUCAAGAUAAGGGCUGUGGAUUAUCUUCUCAAAGUCAAGAAACCAUUGUGAGGAACAAGGCGAACCUCGAAGCUCUCAUUCACUCUAUUGCAUCUAAAUUCAGUCCCGGCGGUACCUCUCUCUUUACUUCUAAUUCUUAUGAUUCAAAGUCAUUAGUAUUAGACUCAGGAGCUUCUCACCAUAUGAUAAGUAACCCUAAGUUGUUAGAGAACAUUAAACCGGCGUUAGGGAGUGUUAAAGUUGCGAAUGGUCAUAAUGUGCCGAUUGAAGGAAUAGGUAGUAUAAACCUAUUUAGUAAACGGUCUAGUGCCUUUUAUAUGCCUAAGUUUACUUCGAAUUUGCUCUCGGUUAAGAAGACUACUAGAGAUUUAAAUUGCCUUGCUACUUUCAGUCCUAAUGAUGUGAAAUUGCAGGAUAUUAAGAGUGGUAAUGUGUUCGGACAUAUUAACUUCAUGUUGUCUCAUAAACCGAAUACCAACCCGUAUCCUUAAUGAUCAAUCUCCUUUUCAAGUUUUGAAUAACCAAAGUCCUAACAUUGAUCAUUUAAAAGUAUUUGGAAGUCUUUGUUUUGUAUUUGUCCCAGGUGACCUGAGAAACAAGCUAGAGCCCAAGAGUACGAAAUGUGUAUUUAUAGGAUACUCAACGACUCAGAGAGGUUACAAGUGCUUCGAUCCGGUCAACAAUAGGUAUCAUGUAUCUAGGGAUGUCAAAUUCAUGGAAGACAAGGCCUAUUUUGGAGAAAAGAGUUGGGAAAGUGUGAAAGAUUUGCCUAAUUCAACUUUAGAUCGAGCUAAGAGUCUUCAACAUAUUCUAGAACAUUUGGGUAAUGUUAGUCCGUCACAAGAACGUGUGGAAGCUACACCAAAUGCGGAUACCAAUGAAGCUCAAGAGAGUGAUGAAAAUACACCACAAGAGCCUUUGGAUAUCCAACAAGAGAGUGGUAGAGAAGAAGGUUCAAGUGAAGAAGUGGUAGAGAAAGAUCCGUCUAGUGAAGGUGAAAUUAUUGAAUCAUCAAGCGAAGAUGAGACUUAUCAAGCUCCAAAAGUCACACAAGAUCCGGUCUACACACGGGAAAAUCCAAGGAAGAGUACAAGAGAGAAGAAAUCUCCUUCUGAAUGGAAGAAAGCUAGAAUCCCCUACUACAAUGCUCAAGCCGUGGCUCAUCCAAUACAAGAAACGUGUUCGAUUGACCUUCUUCCUGAAGAACAUAGAGCUUUUAUCAGUAAGCUAGAUGUGGAAUUCAUACCACAAAGCUAUGAAGAAGCCAAGGAAAGAAAGGAAUGGACUAAUGCUGUGGAUGAUGAGGUUCAUGCUAUGGUUAGGAAUCAUACUUGGGAUGAAGAAGAGCUUCCACCAGGGAAGAAGUGUGUGAGUUCAAAAUGGGUUUUCACCAUAAAGUAUAAGAGUGAUGGUGAAAUUGAGAGAUAUAAGGCUAGGCUAGUGGCAAGAGGGUUUACUCAGACAUAUGGUGAAGACUAUAGAGAAACUUUUGCGCCAAUAGCUAAGCAACACACAGUCAAGGUUGUUCUUUCUCUAGCGGUGAAUAUGGAUUGGGAAUUGUGGCAGAUGGAUGUCAAGAACGCUUUUCUUCAGGGGGAGUUAGAAGAAGAAGUGUAUAUGACACCACCUCCGGGUUUAGAGGAUACAGUGGCUCCAGGGAAGGUGUUAAGACUUCGAAAAGCUAUCUAUGGCCUCAAACAAUCCCCAAGAGCUUGGUAUCACAAGUUGAGUUCAACCUUGCUUAGAGAAGGCUUCAAAAGGUCACAUUCUGAUCACACUUUGUUCACUAAACAGGAUAAUCAAGGAAUUGUAGUAGUUUUGAUCUAUGUUGAUGACUUGAUUAUCUCUGGAAGUAACAAAGCAGGUAUCCAAGCUACCAAGUCUUCUUUACACUCUGCUUUUGAUAUUAAAGAUUUGGGUGUUUUGAAGUAUUUCUUAGGGAUUGAGGUGUGUAGAUCCAAGGAGGGACUGUUUCUCUCACAAAGGAAAUACGCUCUUGAUCUUCUAAAACUUACAGGAAAGCUUGGAGCUAAACCAGUAGAUACACCACUCGAGCAAGGGUACAAGGUCAAUCGAAAGGGGGAGAAAGAUGACACUCCUUAUCAUUGCCCCGAACAAUACCGAAGACUCGUGGGUAAGCUUAUCUACUUGAUAUAUACUCGACCUGAUUUAUCUUUUGUUGUGAAUCAGGUAGCUCAACACAUGCAAGCUCCCACUGUUUAUCAUUGGAGUUUGGUGGAGAGAAUUUUGAGAUAUAUCAAAGGAAGUCCCGGCAAAGGCAUAUGGAUGGGAAGAAACUCUAGCACAGAGAUUGUUGGAUAUUGCGAUGCAGAUUACAAUGGGGAUCGCAACACAAGACAAUCAACAACUGGUUUUUGUACAUUCAUUGGUGGGAAUAUUGUGACUUGGAAGUCGAAGAAGCAGAAAGUCGUCUCUUGUUCGAGUGCUGAAGCAGAGUAUAGAGCUAUGAAGAAACUCACAAACGAGUUAACAUGGCUAAAGGCUUUGUUAAAGGACUUUGGGAUCGAGCAGAAGACUCCAAUCACUUUUCAUAGUGACAAUCAAGCGGCCAUCCACAUUGCUACCAAUCCCGUGUUCCACGAGAGGACCAAGCACAUAGAGACGGAUUGCCACAAGACAAGAGAGAAGAUAGAAGAUGGUACGAUUCUCCCUUGUUACACUAAGAGUUCGGACCAAUUGGCCGAUAUCUUUACCAAGGCAGCAAGUAACCAAGUUUGCCAAUUUAUUCAUGGUAAACUUGGUCUUGUAGACCUGACACAUCCUUGAAAAAUAUUCUCCAACUUGUAGGGAUAAUACUCUUUUUCCCUAAGCUUGGUUUUGUCCCACGUGGUUUUCCAAACUUAGGUUUUUAAUGAGGUUAUUCAUACAAGUGCCAAGUUUAUACACAAUUGGGCAUUGUGGUAUAAACUUGAGGGGGAGUGUUAAUCAAGAAGACAUUUAACACUAACUAAGUCAUAGUUAAGGGUUAAAUGUAGGUUACUUGGGUUACUCGGGUUACAGGUUACUUGGGUUACUCGGGUUACAGGUUACUUGGGUUACUCGGGUUACAAGUCUGAAUGAGGGUGCUAUUGGUCUUUGUGCACAACCCAUAAACCCUAGAGAAUGUGUUCUCAUAUAAAAGCACUUGUGUGCCUCCACUUUGUAAUACAACGUUUAUCUUUUAAUAACAACACUUUUCCUCUCUACUCUUAGUCAUGUUUCUCUCUAUUCUUCCCACUUGAUUCUUAAAUUAUUUAUAAACCUAAUCUACUAUCGAGCGAUUUCGGUUCAAGAUUAAUUUCUCAUCAAAUACGUUAACGACCCAUCAGUUUUUUGUUUCCUCAUAUUUAGUAUAGCUAAUCAGCAAACCAUCUAAUUCAGUAUCAAACAAAAAAAACUUGUGACAGGUACGGACCAGACCGUCCCAAAUACCUAGGACCAUUCUCGGAAAACACACCAUCAUACCUAACCGGAGAAUACCCUGGAGACUACGGCUGGGACACCGCCGGUCUGUCAGCCGAUCCAGAAACAUUCGCAAAGAACCGUGAGCUUGAAGUAAUCCACAGUAGAUGGGCAAUGUUGGGUGCAUUAGGCUGCACAUUCCCAGAAAUUCUCUCCAAAAACGGAGUCAAAUUUGGUGAAGCCGUGUGGUUCAAGGCAGGAUCACAGAUCUUCUCAGAAGGAGGACUUGAUUACCUCGGAAACCCUAACUUGAUCCACGCGCAAAGCAUAUUAGCUAUAUGGGCUUGUCAAGUUGUGCUAAUGGGAUUCAUUGAAGGUUACAGAAUCGGAGGUGGGCCUCUUGGUGAAGGACUUGACCCACUUUACCCUGGCGGAGCGUUUGACCCGUUGAACUUAGCGGAGGAUCCAGAGGCGUUCUCGGAAUUGAAGGUGAAGGAGCUCAAAAACGGUCGUCUUGCGAUGUUCCCAAUGUUUGGAUUCUUUGUUCAAGCCAUUGUUACCGGUAAAGGUCCGAUAGAGAAUCUGUUCGAUCACAUUGCAGACCCUGUGGCUAACAACGCUUGGGCUUACGCCACCAACUUUGUCCCCGGAAAAUAGAGUUUGAUCGGAUAAUUUAUGUAAAUUAUAUCUUUUAAGAAUUUGUCAAUGCACUAUAUUCUUUCUUUGGUCAGAAAUUCUCGUUAGCUAUAGCAACUUAGCACAAACACGAAAAGUAUACGUUUAAAAGGCUAAAACAUGGACGAAAAUAAAAAAAUGCCAGCACAAUCGAAGAAUAAGACACUGAACUAAAUUAUCAUGGAUAAUCAUGGAUUCAAUGGGCCAGGCUAAUGAUAAAAAAAAACAGAGAGAAACGUAUUAAGUUUUGAAAAUUUGAGGCUAUAUCCACUUUCCAUGGCUUAAAAAGCAUAACUUUUUGGGGGCGGUGAAUGUGAAGUGACUCAUCUACGAGAAGGAUAAAUCCAAAUAUUUCAAAAAUCUUAACCAAACCCGUAAAAUUGUGCUCUUUGUAGUUUGUCAUCUAUCAAAAACUACUAUCUCUAUACUAUUAAAAGAGAAGUACAAAUGAAAAUGGGUCGGGUUAAAAUCAGAAAAUUGACCCGAAAUUCUGAAAUCGGAUCUUUGAAAUUUUUUUGGAAUAUAAAUUCAAAUUAAUAAUGAAAAAUCGAAUUAAAAUCAAAUAUUUAUGGAAAUCAAAUAAAAUCUGAUUGUACUUAUGAUAACUAAUAAUAAAAGCAUAUUCCGAACAAUAUUAUACAUUAAUCACGUAUAAUAAAUUUGUUCAUAUAUUUUUGGGACUAAUUCCAUAACAAUCAAUGUUUUUGUCAUUAAUUUCGCUCAUUUUAGCCAAUUAUCAUUAAUUGAAAGAUAUUUUACUUGCUUCUAAAGAUUUCUAGAAAAUUUAUCACAAAUAACCCAUCUGUUUUAUAAAUUAAAUUGAUAUUUUUAUUUUGGUCGUGUAAAUUAAAUAGAUAUUUUUAUUUUGGUCGUGUAAAUUAAAUAGAUAUGAAAUCCAUGUAACUAAUUUUAAUUUAAUUAGAUUAAAUCAAAAUUAUGAUAUUUUCAUACCUAUAACUUACCAAAGAAGUUUAAUUUUCAAUUUAUAAAGAUUUCUUGAAUAUGAUUUUAGAAUUAUUCAACAAGAUGAUAAGUAUUUAUUAAAUUUUGUGAAUCAUGAAAAAUAAUAAUUAAUUUUCAAUCAUUAUACUUCAUCUUUCAAUCUAUCAUCUAACAAAUAAGAUACAUAUUCUAUUAUUUCUAUGUCCAAACUUCAUUUUGUUGUAUGACUAAAUAAUAUUCCAAUUAGAACUGUCAAAGCGAGUUGAUUCGUCCCGUUAAAUCCGUUUUGCGAUAGACAAAAAAUAUUUUGACUUGUAGUUAGUCGGUCCACACGACCCGCAGGUAGCAUAUAUGAAAUACAAACCCGUCCCGCGAAUGUAUGCGGAUUUGCGGGAUUGUCCAUGGAUUUUGUUUAAAUAAUUUUAAAGUAACCAAAAUUUAAAAUACUACUAAAAUAAAUAAAUAAAUAAAAAUACUAUUAAAAGUUUGUUUAAAUUACCACAUGUUGAAUAAAUUACAAUUUUAUCAAUAAAUACUAAUAUGCGGGCUGAUCCGCCAACCUGCGGAUGAAAACCGAUUAAACCUAUGACCCACUGCGAAUUAAUCCAUGUGGCCCACUUAUUUGCGGGUUUAAUAUAUUUUCCCAAAUCUGCCCCAUAGUGAGAUGAUGUGGGCUCGACCCGCGGUUUUUGACCUAUUUUGACUGCUUUAAUUCCCAUGAAUCGUCUAAUUUUAGAAUUUUAAAACACAAAAUUCUAUUUUUUAAAUCAUAAUUAAUACGAUGAGUAUAUUUAUAAACAAUUUUACAUUUUCUCUACAAUUCGUUAUUAUGAAUAUUUAUAAUUAUACUACACGAUUCGUUCUACUAAAAAACACACACAAUAUUAAACGCAACGUUUGUAAACCAAUAUUCUCUCGCGGUGAACCGCGGGUCCGAUCCUAGUCCAGUAACAUAUGACAAUUGUUUGUGUAUAUAUGUUCAUCAUAUAUGACUAUAGUUCGUGCUGAAAUAUACUUUUAUAUUUUUGAAACAAUAUAUUUUCUAGACUCCUCUUCUUUUUUUCACAUUUUUCACAUAAUACUAGGUAAGAACCCGUACCAUGCAAGGAUAAGUUUUAUGAUAUAACGAUUUAAAAAAAAAAUCAAAGUUUUAUAUGAAUCUCGAGAUGUCAAAACUAAAUUUUCUAAAUGCGCUAAAAUAUUUUGAAUUAAAAUAAUAUUGUAUAAAUACCAUGUAAUAACACGACUUUUUAAUCUAUAAAUAAAUUUACAAGUUAAAUAUCAAAUAUUUUAUUGAUUUAUAUUAAUAAAAGAAAAUUGUAUUUACAUCAUUCAUAAAUUUUGACUUAUAGAUUUGAUUUAAAUUUAAAUGUUUAUAAUAUAUGAAAGAAUUUUUCGGUGUUAAAAUGCAUAUACUAUAUGUUUGUAUUGUUUAGUUUUUUCAAUUAAAAAAAAAGAACACAAUGCAUUUAAUAAAAAAAAUUUAUAUAGAAUUUUUCUUACAAGUAAAGAUAUCUUAUAAUAAUCAUAUUAUGUAUACAUAAAUCUAUGAGAACUGAAUUUUGAAGAAAAAAGGAUAAAAUCAAGUAGCAUUUGAUAAAUAUUAUAUAUAUAUAUAUAUAUAUAUAUAUAUAUAUAUAUAUAUAUUAUUACUUAACGAAUAUUUUCUGAUACUUUUUGAUGAUGUUGUGUUUACCCAUAUAUAAUUUUUACUUUUCAAUAAUAAUAUAACUUUUUUUGUUCUCCGAUAGCUUGUUAACAUUUUUAAUUUAUCCAAUCAUAUACUUUAUGCAUAUCAACCGAUUUUCUUAUUCCACCUUCUUUCUUUAAAUAGAUUCCAUCUUCUCUGGCUCUCCAAUCCCAAUCGGCUCCAUUAUCAUAACCAGUAUAUUGCUUAAAUGCUGUAAAAUUUUGAUAGUGUUUAUAAUUAGGUCCUUGUUUCAAUGUACACAUGAAACGAGUCGUACCCCAAAUGUUAGCACGAAAAGAAUUUUCAUAUUGCUGUCCGAUUGAUAGUACUUUUGGACCUAUUACGUCAUCUUUGGAAUAACACCUCAUCCAGAGGAGUUUCUUGAAUUGGAGUUCGUUCGUGAUUGUGAUUCCAGUGCCGGAUACAUGGCCAAGAAUGUAAAUGCUAAAAACAAAUAGAAAUACUGAAAGGUUUUUCAUUAUUUUAUUUUUAUUGUUCUGGUUAGAUGUUUAGAUGUUUUGUUUUAUUAACUUGGUUUUUGUGUUUCUGGUACUAUAUAUACACACACAUAUGUAUUACUAUUGUUGGCACAAGAUAUCCUUCUGUAUUUGUUCCAAGUUAUAACAGAUAUCAUAUGAUAUCUUACAUGUGAAGAGGCCGAAGUAUACAUAAAUCUAUCGGAAUUGAAUUUUGAAGAUAAAAGGAUAAACCAAGUUAACAUUUAUGGAAAUCAAUUAUAACCAUCAAGAAAAAAAAUUAAAAUAUAAAAAAUACAAUUUCUUAUUGAUAAAUAUAUUUGUUUAUAUAUUUUUUUAUUACUAUAGACAGUCAGAAAUCCCAACUGAUAUUAUGAAUUCAAAUAAAUUUAUUAUCUAAAUUAUAACACAUUUACUCAAUUUUAAAUUUUGAUUCCAAAGAUAUAAACAAUCAAAACUUAUGAAGUGUCAACACUCCCAAAGAAAACAAAGCCAUCAUUAUGGGAGCUGCCGUAGUUAAGUUUAUCAUAUUCGUGAGUUAAAUCAUAGAAAUCGCAAGCAUAGCCAAUAGGCAAUAACUAACAAGCGAGAUAGCAUGAGAGAACACUAUCCUCUUGGGUUUUAUGUGUUUGGCUCACCCCACAAGAUCUUCCCUCCCACAUGGCAAAACCAUAGCCUCUAUAUAUCUCUUCCACGUAAAUUAAGUUUGUGGAAAUCUAAAAUCAACCAAUAAGAACUCGCUGACGUGUCCCUUUGACAAUCUUCGCCAAAAAUGAACAUUCUACUAUAAAAACGAAGUUCCAAAUCACUAACAUAACACAACAACAACAUCUCAUCUCACUUAUUACUUCUUUUCUUUGUGUUCUUGUUUAGAAGAAGCAAUGGCCACUUCAGCAAUCCAAUACUCUUCUUUCACCGGCCAAACAGCCCUAAAGCCAUCCAACGAUCUCCUCCGCAAGGUCGGAGCCUCCAAUGGUGGCGGCCGCGUCAUCAUGCGUCGUACCGUCAAGUCUACUCCUCAGAGCAUCUGGUUCCAACCCAAAUCUCUCUCUCUCUCUCACUUAUCUUUGUUAUUCUUGAAAGAGAUUUUCCAUUUAAAUACAAAUGCCUGCAAUUCAUUGUGGGUUUCAUUUUGAGUUUUUUUUUGCUUUAGAAGUAUUUUAAACAAUGAAAACUGAAUCUACUAUAGAUUGGUUUGGGUUCAAGAUUUCACUUUCCAUUUUUAAAAAAGUUGAAAAUACUUUGAAAUAUGUCUUUCUUUAUUCGAAUUCGGUUUCGGCUUUUUGGAUCCAUUUUAAUCAUAUUAUACUCAUUUCAAUUUUUCUAUUGGUACUUUUGGUUUGGUUUUGGAUCGAAUUAGACUGGUUUAUCUGGACUAAACAAUCCGUCAGUUUUUGUUUCCUCAUUUUUAGUAUAGCUAAUUAGCAAACCAUCUAAUUAGUAUCCAACAAAAAAACUUGUGACAGGUACGGACCAGACCGUCCCAAAUACCUAGGACCAUUCUCGGAAAACACACCAUCAUACCUAACCGGAGAAUACCCUGGAGACUACGGCUGGGACACGGCCGGUCUCUCAGCCGAUCCAGAAACAUUCGCUAAGAACCGUGAGCUCGAGGUCAUCCAC